GACGAACGCUGGCGGCGUGCCUAAUACAUGCAAGUCGAACGCUUCUUUCCUCCCGAGUGCUUGCACUCAAUUGGAAAGAGGAGUGGCGGACGGGUGAGUAACACGUGGGUAACCUACCCAUCAGAGGGGGAUAACACUUGGAAACAGGUGCUAAUACCGCAUAACAGUUUAUGCCGCUUGGCAUAAGAGUGAAAGGCGCUUUCGGGUGUCGCUGAUGGAUGGACCCGCGGUGCAUUAGCUAGUUGGUGAGGUAACGGCUCACCAAGGCCACGAUGCAUAGCCGACCUGAGAGGGUGAUCGGCCACACUGGGACUGAGACACGGCCCAGACUCCUACGGGAGGCAGCAGUAGGGAAUCUUCGGCAAUGGACGAAAGUCUGACCGAGCAACGCCGCGUGAGUGAAGAAGGUUUUCGGAUCGUAAAACUCUGUUGUUAGAGAAGAACAAGGACGUUAGUAACUGAACGUCCCCUGACGGUAUCUAACCAGAAAGCCACGGCUAACUACGUG
Molecule: ribosomal RNA, 508 nt
Filed under: uncultured bacterium
Lineage: Bacteria
Description: partial 16S ribosomal RNA
Rfam family: Bacterial small subunit ribosomal RNA
Source: RNAcentral